This is a long non-coding RNA of Ruditapes philippinarum (Manila clam), 766 nucleotides long. RefSeq lists it as uncharacterized. NCBI's taxonomy places the organism in Eukaryota, Metazoa, Mollusca, Bivalvia, Venerida, Veneridae. The record is from RefSeq and is a predicted model, not a curated record. The transcript has 2 exons.
CCAGUUAAACUGACUAAGAUAAAAACUACUUUUAAUUAAUUGACAGAUAUGUUAAAAUAAACACAUUUUAUGCCAAUAACUUGAAAUGACAUUCACAGUUGAACUUUGAACUUUUUUUACAGGAAGCACAAGCGUUUGCGGAAGAGAAUAAUCUGAUAUUCACAGAGUCGUCUGCUAAAACUGGAAUGUGUGUGGGAGAUAUUUUCAUGGCGGUCGCGCAAACUUUAGCAAAAUUACGACCUCAGUCGGCGGAACCGGAAGGAAAAGGUAUUAAGCUCGGCAAGGAUUCUGGGAAGAAAAAAGAUGGCGGCUGUUGCUGACAGACGGUCACAUGUUUACAGACGUGGCUUGUUUUAUUUAACGAAUAAAACGAAAAUGUGAUAAUUAUUCCGUGAAACAUAUUUAGUGUUAUUUUGUACUUUUAAUUGUGGAAACUAAUACAUUCCAUUGUUAAUGCUUUGCAUUUUAGUGUUUUUGUUUGCAUGUGAAGUGAGAUUUGAAGAUUUGUGUUGUAUCGCCAUUGAUACUAUAUUUAGAUGUUGUGCUGCGACGUUUUUCAAAUAUGUUUGGUUGUAAAUAACUAAUUUAAUUUGGUUAGCAGUCUGUACUUUUGAUAUCCGUUUUGUCAGUGUAUGAUUUCAUAAUGAAAUUCAAGUAACAAUGUAUCAUAUUUCCGGGAGCAAUGAAAGCGAACAAGUGUCUGAUACUCUUCCUUGAUAACUUUACUACAUGUAUUCGCAUUUCAUUUCCCCGAUUUCUACAAGUC